Molecule: ribosomal RNA, 89 nt
Filed under: Leskeodon seramensis
Lineage: Eukaryota; Viridiplantae; Streptophyta; Bryopsida; Hookeriales; Daltoniaceae
Description: partial 5.8S ribosomal RNA
Rfam family: 5.8S ribosomal RNA
About the family: 5.8S ribosomal RNA (5.8S rRNA) is a component of the large subunit of the eukaryotic ribosome. It is transcribed by RNA polymerase I as part of the 45S precursor that also contains 18S and 28S rRNA.
Source: RNAcentral
AAAACAACUCUCAGCAACGGAUAUCUUGGCUCUUGCAACGAUGAAGAACGCAGCGAAAUGCGAUACGUAGUGUGAAUUGCAGAAUUCCG